AAAUUUUUACAAGUUUAAAAGUAUUUAAAUAUACAGAUGUGUUUGAAAGGUCCUAAGAGCUAGGGGCUAAGGCUUCAUGAUCCUCCAGUGCUUGCUCCAAGGGAACAUCAUCAGCUACUGGUCACAUCGAAAGGAUUGGAUGAUCAUCGCAAGGGGGAAGGCAAGCACAUACAACACACACAAUGCAAGGGUAAGCUAGGUAUAAAAAGCAUGUUAUCAAUCAAGUAUUUCAAGCAUGCAAGAACCACAAACAAUACAGACUAUGACCAAAUGUAUUUUAUUGAUACCAAUGACCGACCACGUGAUUUGACCAUCCGGACUAGUAUGAAAUAUCGAGUUCCAGAGGUUUGUGCACUUGUGGUGCCCUAUUGCUUUGCAAAGCCAUUGCCGAGAGGUUUCACCCGACCACACACAAGGUUAGUCCGUUACAGCGGUAUAGGCCUAUAGUGAAAGCGCCUAUCCUAGGAUCUCCUGCUAUUCUCACGACAUGACUCAUCACUCUCUACUUGAGCUUGGAUGAUCAUUAAAAUGUCAGGAUAAACCCCAUUGGGAACUCCAGCCAUUCAUACGGUCAAUCACAACAAAGUACAUGGCACCAUCAUGUAACCUCCCUUGAGGAUCAUGGAAUUACAUCCAAUAACCAUACUUUUCACUUUCCACACCAUGCAUAUCUCUUACAUUCAUAUACUUUCAAUUUAGCCAUAUAACAUCAAUCAUACUUUUACUUUAAAACUUAACUCAAGCCAAGAACAACUGAAUACCAUAAUAUUAUCACAUUGAAUCCAAACAUAUAACCUUUAAAUUUUACAUUGCAUACCAACAUAUAUAUAAAUGUUAUUUAUACUUUAAAAGAUCACAAACAACCCAACAAGUCAUCAAAAUCGCAUGAAACCAUUCAAUAUACAUUAGUAGACAAUAAUAGUUCUAGAAGGACCACUAAACAACACAAAACCCAGUGAACUCAUACUUAAACAAAGAAAUGACUUUGAAACCAUCACCAACAGUUUCGAAAGGGUCAAAAACCCCCAGAACGACCUAAAGAACAACCAUAAAUGAUACCUGGAACCCUGAAAACCAUCCAAAAUUGUCCUGAAUGAUUUUCCAACAACAAUAAUCGAUUACUAUAUAUAAUAAUCGAUUAUUUACAAGAACUUUGAAGAAAAUAUGAUGUUCUGACUAGAAUAAUCGAUUAUUACAUAUAAUAAUCGAUUAUUCUUAUCAGUAUUUGACAGCAACCUGAUUUUUCUGAAUUUAGUGCACCUGAUACACUUUGAUGAGUUUCUAAAACUCCUAACUUGAUUUAUAUGUUGGAUUGAACUUGUCUAAAUGAUCAUAAGUCUUUCUAACCCCAUUCUUUAAUGUUUGUGCAUCAAUUUUCCUCCAAAAACUCUAAGUUUCACUAACUUUGAGAUCAAAUUCUAAUUCUACUACUUAGCAAUUGUUUCUUACCAAUUUAACACUCCUAAUAAGUCACAAUUGACUUACCUAAACCAUUCCAAUUGACUAAAUCAGCUCCUAACCCCAAAUGCCCAAAUCGACUAUCUCACUUCCUCCCAUAUGCCUUAAAAACCAGUAGAAAUGGCUAACUAAUCAUGUUAUUCUUAAAGCAGAUUCAACAACAUUGAACAACUUGGUCUCAACAAUAUAUCACAUCAAGACUCAAACUUACAAACACAAAUCUACAGUUUCAUGCUCAGAUACACAAACAUCAUAUCGUUUACAGACAAGAUUACUCAAACUUAAAUCAACAGCAAAAUUAUCUAUUUCCUAAUUUAUACAUGCAUCUUUCUACAAUUUAAUAAUGCCUAAAUCAUGCACAUUCUAAUUCAUAAAACAGAACAGAAAACCCCUAGCUCCCCUUACCUCAAUUGAAGCAAAAUCCCAGAUCACAAGAACCCUAGCUCUUAGCUGGCCUCACAAGAAAAUCCACAAAUCCUAACAAUCACCGAAUGGGUGAUAGAGGUUAGCUCUUAAAACAAUAUUUGGAGCUGAGAGUUGAAGAAGAUGGUUACUAACAACAUGCAACAGAGAAAAUUGCAUGAUCCUAGCUAAAGAAAAUACAAAGAAAAAGAAAGACGACUUACCGUUAGCGAAACAAGAAAUCAACUGAUCGGAUCGAAGCCCACAACUUCAAGACUACCUAGGCUGCUUUUGUUCAACAAUUCAAAGGUUCAAUUUGGAAAUUUAAGUGGAAAGAAGGUAGGGGAAAAAGGAAGAGCAAGCAGCAGAGAAAUAGCUUUUCAGAUGAAGGAAUGGAUUAAAACCAGCGUUUCAAAAAUUUCAUUCUAAAGUGUUC
Molecule: long non-coding RNA, 2296 nt
Filed under: Vigna radiata
Lineage: Eukaryota; Viridiplantae; Streptophyta; Magnoliopsida; Fabales; Fabaceae
Description: long non-coding RNA (VRAD_LNC014553)
Source: RNAcentral